RNAcentral lists this long non-coding RNA (1551 nucleotides) under Malus domestica (apple). RNAcentral describes it as "long non-coding RNA (MDOM_LNC016359)". Lineage: Eukaryota; Viridiplantae; Streptophyta; Magnoliopsida; Rosales; Rosaceae. The record is from RNAcentral.
AUAAAUAAAAGGAAAUCGACACGGGUUGAAAAAUAAAAUCCUCUUAUUAAAAUAACUCCAUAAUCCUUACAGGGUGUACAAAAGUAAUAAAUUAAAAUCCUUAAACUUCUCCUCAAUCACAACCUUAGCUCUUCUAACACCUGUCUUGCCAAAUAACUCAUCUGUAAAAUAAUAGGUGAGAAGUGAGCAACAACCACCGUCGCUCAGUAAGAAGAAUAUAUAAUAUGCCAAUCAAGCUUGUUAUUUUAAUCAUACUAUAAAAUAGGAUAAUAAUAUCAAAGCUUUAACCACAUAAUUCCAUAUCACAUCAUCCCUUUACGUGUUCAUUACAUCCUUCAUAAAUUGUAACUCACCACGUGACCCCUAUUGGCCUUUCCGCCCUAAUGUCCUCGUGUGCGGUUUACAUUUAUCCCUCGAAUUAAUGCAACACUAAAGUUCUCAUGCUCCAUGAACAUUUCCAAAUAAUCUACAUAUCACGAUAUAUAAUAACUCCAAAACAUUUCAACAAAUCCAACAUGCUUGACUUGAAAUAGAUAGAGUUUUAUAAAUAGAUAAAACCCACAAUAGUUCAUGGCUUUCAUUUAUCGAAAAUAAGAACUUUUAAACACAUUACAUAAACCACUCACCUCGAUAAUCCAAGCUUUGGCAACACAACUCAACUAACAUUUCUACAAACCUCAAACCCUAGCUCGCUAUCUUUCUCUGUCUCUAUAUAUAUAGCAUAAGUACAGAACAUGUUUGCAUGCAUUUGCAUGUCAAACUCUCAUACUUUCUUUCUCUGCAAAGGCUUAACAUGCACACCUUGCAUGUAACCAUAUAUCUGACUACACCGUCCAACCCGUGCAUCAAUUGGUAACCAAAACCAAAGGAAUGAAGUCCCUAUUUAUAGGGAAAAAGGCAGCUACCAAUGUAAUUUGAUUGGAUGAUGUGACAACAAGGAUAAAACCAAUGGACCUGUCUAGAUCUUCUACAAGCUCCUGCAUGUGAAGAUGAGAAAAGCUGAUACUGUGCAUCCAACACCAAAUUGCUUAGUCAUUUAGUUGAUUCAACAGGUGUCAAUAGACACUCAAAAGAUUUAACCUGCACCUGCCACCUACAAAAGUGCUUACAAGCACCUUAAUUCAGAUAGCUAAGAACCAAGUCAUAACACGUCCAACCUUAGGUGGAUCUCUAAGUUUACUGGAAUUACACACCUACUAAUCUGCAUGAAACAUUUAAGCGACCUCCCACCUUUAAUCCUCUCAACUCAAACCUUAAUCAUAAAAAUAAGAUAGUGUCAAUAUGCAUAACUACAUGCAUAGUACGUCCACUUUGGUAAUUUAUCCUAGUUAGAAAAAUAAUAUCCAUAAUAAAUUCUAAUAAUUUGGGAUCUUACAUGAUGGUUGCCAAGGGUUCUACUUCAGCCCACUUUGUGAAGUAGUCAACUGCAAUGAUUGCAUAGCGGACCUUACCCUUCCCUGCAGGCAUUGGGCUGAUCAAAUCAAGUCCCCAUUGGGCGAAGGGCCAAGGGCUGAUAAUAGGAGUGAGCGGCUUGGGAGGGGAGUGAGAAAU